This 433-nucleotide ribosomal RNA is filed under the name uncultured bacterium. RNAcentral's name for it is "partial 16S ribosomal RNA". It matches the Rfam family "Bacterial small subunit ribosomal RNA", at positions 29 to 507 of the family's 1533-position model. The record is from RNAcentral.
AACGAACGCUGGCGGCAUGCCUAACACAUGCAAGUCGAACGAGACCUUCGGGUCUAGUGGCGCACGGGUGCGUAAAGCGUGGGAACCUGCCCUUAGGUUCGGAAUAACUCCCCGAAAGGGGUGCUAAUACCGGAUAAUGUCUUCGGACCAAAGAUUUAUCGCCUUUGGAUGGGCCCGCGUUGGAUUAGCUAGUUGGUAGGGUAAAAGCCUACCAAGGCGACGAUCCAUAGCUGGUCUGAGAGGAUGAUCAGCCACACUGGGACUGAGACACGGCCCAGACUCCUACGGGAGGCAGCAGUGGGGAAUAUUGGACAAUGGGCGAAAGCCUGAUCCAGCAAUGCCGCGUGAGUGAUGAAGGCCUUAGGGUUGUAAAGCUCUUUUACCCGGGAUGAUAAUGACAGUACCGGGAGAAUAAGCACCGGCUAACUCCGUG